UCCUGGUAGUCUAGUGGUUAAAGACUUGGCAUUGUCACUGCUAUGGCUUGGGUUCAAUCCUUGACCCAGGAA
RNAcentral lists this transfer RNA (72 nucleotides) under Sus scrofa (pig). It matches the Rfam family "tRNA". From Rfam's summary of the family: Transfer RNA (tRNA) molecules are approximately 80 nucleotides in length. Their secondary structure includes four short double-helical elements and three loops (D, anti-codon, and T loops). Lineage: Eukaryota; Metazoa; Chordata; Mammalia; Artiodactyla; Suidae. The record is from Rfam by way of RNAcentral.